RNAcentral lists this transfer RNA (65 nucleotides) under Dianemobius furumagiensis. Its description in RNAcentral is "tRNA-Ala". Lineage: Eukaryota; Metazoa; Arthropoda; Insecta; Orthoptera; Trigonidiidae. The record is from RNAcentral.
AGGGUUAUAGUUAACUAUAACAUUUAAUUUGCAGUUAAAAAGUAUUGAUAAUUCAAUUAACCUUA